RNAcentral lists this ribosomal RNA (280 nucleotides) under uncultured Glarea. RNAcentral's name for it is "partial large subunit ribosomal RNA". It matches the Rfam family "Eukaryotic large subunit ribosomal RNA", at positions 40 to 306 of the family's 3401-position model. The record is from RNAcentral. Lineage: Eukaryota; Fungi; Ascomycota; Leotiomycetes; Helotiales; Helotiaceae.
AUAUCAAUAAGCGGAGGAAAAGAAACCAACAGGGAUUUACCUCAGUAACGGCGAGUGAAGCGGUAACAGCUCAAAUUUGAAAUCUGGCUCACGCCCGAGUUGUAAUUUGUAGAAGAUGCUUUUUUGGGUGUAGCUCCGGUCUAAGUUUUCCUUGGAACAGGACGUCAUAGAGGGUGAGAAUCCCGUAUGUGACUGGUAGCUUUUUCGCCCGUGUAAAGCUCUUUUUUCGACGAGUCGAGUUUGUUUUUUGGGAAUGCAGCUCAAAAUGGGUGGUAAUUAC